AGAGAAACACACAAUGAAAAAUUUAUUGAUUUUUUUUUCUCUGUUCUGGUUUUGAUUUUUUUUUCAGGGAACCCAACUAACGGAAGAGAACGAGCGACUUGGCAUGCAAAUAUAUAAUAACGUGCAUGAAUCCGGUGUUGAUGAAUUGGAGAACGCCGCCGUGUAUGAGGAAGGACACUCGUCAGAGUCUAUUACAAACGUCGGGAACUCCAACGGAGCUCCUGUUGACUCCGAGAGCUCCGAUACUUCCCUUAGACUCGGCUUACCAUAUGGUGGUUAGAGAUGGAAACAAUACAAAGGAGUUGAUGGUGGAGUGAGGAGAGUGAUGUAAAUCUUUUUAACUCGGUAAUAACACAAGAGACAAUAUGUCUAAAUAGUAAAAAUUCUCUUAUGUUUGUUUGAAGGUUUUUUUUUGGUGGUUUUCACUAUAUAUUAUCUCUCUCUUCACUCUGCAUUUUUGGUUUGUGACGUCGUUUGUCACAACCAAAUUGUAUGGACAUGGUAAGUUAGAAUAUGAGAUAUUAUAGAACUUAGAUAA
Camelina sativa (false flax) is the source of this 538-nucleotide non-coding RNA. Lineage: Eukaryota; Viridiplantae; Streptophyta; Magnoliopsida; Brassicales; Brassicaceae. The record is from RefSeq and is a predicted model, not a curated record.